Molecule: small nuclear RNA, 109 nt
Organism: Pteropus vampyrus (large flying fox)
Lineage: Eukaryota; Metazoa; Chordata; Mammalia; Chiroptera; Pteropodidae
Source: Ensembl
GUCUGCUUUGGCAAUACAUACAUAUACUAAAAUUGGAAUGAUAUGGAGAAGAUUAGCACGGCCCCUGCACGAGGAUGACAUGCAAAUUCAUAAAGCAUUCAUAUUUUUA